Molecule: non-coding RNA, 993 nt
Organism: Schizosaccharomyces pombe (fission yeast)
Lineage: Eukaryota; Fungi; Ascomycota; Schizosaccharomycetes; Schizosaccharomycetales; Schizosaccharomycetaceae
Source: the annotation of a GenBank genome assembly
AUAUCCGAUACUACAGAAUAAUAAACCUAACUUAUUUUAGCUUAGAAAAAAAAAUUAGGUUCUUCUGGCAGCAGCCCGCUUGGAAAUCUUUCGACGUUGAGCAAGCAUAUGUGUAUACAUAAUGUAAAGACCUAGAAAGUUAAUAAAGAUUUUGGAAGAAAAGCUGGGUUUCACUCAACUUACCAGGUGGAUAAAUAGACAUCAAGAUGGGCCAAAGCAGCUUGUUCAAACUCCAGACGUACUGAGCAGCAAUCCUACUUUUCAAUACUAAAAGAAAUUCACUUCCAGCACCGAUGGGAUAGAGGAUUAGGAAGGUAUUAUAGCGAAGCCAUGUUAAGAAAGCAGGGAUGUCGCCGUUCAGGUUGAAUGCAUAAAAUGCAUAACGAAUUAUUUCGGUAAUGGACCAAGCGAUGAUCAUACUUAAGUAUAUAGGAGAUCCCUCAAUAACAUAUGAAAAUGGAUAGCACACACCCCAAACAAGGUAAAGUCGAGAUGCAACUUGAAUGAUUGUUGUUAAAGGAGAAGAAGAUACUAGUCCAAAUAUACUGUGGAAUACUUCAGCUAUUGCCAGAGUUUGUACCCAGCGAACUAAAGUAUUUGUUUCAUGAAAAACUACGGCUGUAUCUUUGGUUAUUCCCCAUAUCAAUCCUGUACGAAGCAAAACGCUCAUCCAAAGAAAGCAGGAGAUAACAUUGUAUAGUUUUAAAUAUUGUAUUUUUACUAUUUUUAACUUUGUUAAUAACUGAGAUCUAUAAAAAAUCGAGUCUUACAAAUUUUCGACAUUUUUGUUGGGAUUGUAGUUGGAACAAUACGAUUUUCAAACGUUUCACUACGCGGCCUCACUUGUAUGAGACCAUUGUUGGCCAAUAUUGUUUGUUGCGUUCUGGGGGAUGGAUAAAUUCUUUCUAUCAAAAGAAUGUAUACAAACACUUUACAAACAACUUUUAAAAUUCGGAUUUGGCUAACAUCGUUAUGUAUUAAUGAAAAUAUCAA